AAGGACUCGUGCGUGCCUUCCAUUUCCCUCCUGUUUUUGUCACCCGCCUCUUCCUCAUCUCGCCACCUGUUUCCCCCACUACGCCCACAAAACGUCACCGUUUCAUUCUCACUCCUUCCUCACACCCUCUCUUUUUCCCCACAUUCCUUCGUUUCAUCUCAAUUCAAAAAUUCAUUCUUUUAACAUUAAUAAUAAUAAUUUUAUUGAAAUAAAUCAAUCAAAAAGGUAACUCCAAAUAUCUCCUCCAGCUUUUUACUGCUUCUUAAUUUUGAUCGACUAUGACCUUAAUUUUGAUCGACUAUGACGAUGUACUAAAGCUUCAAUUUUUUUCGGUUUUUUCAGUCAACGCUUUUGCUUCAAGAUUUCGUUUUACCUUCCUUGAAAAUUAAAGCUCACCUAAUUGAUACAAUUGAAACUCUUCUUUUAAGCUGGAAAUUGAUACAAUUUUCACUUCAUUUUUUCUUAACUUUGUAUCCAGAUUUGCUGCUUUUGUUUACAGUUUUUAUUUUUUUAAUAUUUUUCUGUGGAGCUAAGCAUGACUUUGGUUACAGCUUUAUAUUAUUUUAACAUAUAAUCAGACUAAUUUAUUGAAUUUUAUGGCAUGGUCCAUUUGACCAAAUAUUUUUGUUACUUGAACUGAUGAACACGAAUUUUGAAGUGAAUACGUGUGUUUGAUUGCCGGAUUUUGUAAGAUUCCUUUGUAGAAAUAUUUUAAUCCCACGAACAGUAUGAUUCAGUAAAUAGCUUUGGGAAUGGUAUUGAUUCUAUUCUUGUUUGUUUAUUCAUAUAAGAACUUUGAUGCAACCUUCAGAUUCCUUUUGAACCAUGUAGUUAUAUAUUUGGAUUAGUUUAUAGCAUAUCAACAGUUGAUUGUUGCAUUUAGAUGUUUUUUGUUACUUCCGCUCUUGAUUGCUUAUUAUAUGUUAGUUAAAGAGCAAACAUUAUACAAGUUCUUGAUUGAUUAGUGCUCUUUCGUAUAACGGGUUCGUGACUGAUGUUCACUUUCUUAUUUGACUUUGUUUAUGCAGUUCUUGUAGCGAGAUUGUGUAAUUUGAAUAUUCAGAUACUUCUGUAGCUGAUGGAUUCGCCAGAUAUUGAGUCUCCCUGGCUUUGUGCCGCUGGCGAAUCCUUCUGUGGGUCGUUUAAUAUACGUGUGGAGGAGGGGAAUGCAGCCGAUAUUUUACAUGUGCUGGAAGUUCCCACCUCUUCUGUACCCUAUAACUGUAGUAUACCCAAGCCACCCCCUCUCCCUAUUAAACCCUGUACAAAAAACAAAUAUCCCAAUAGAUUUUUACAUUGUAGAGACACUCAACGGACAACGGUGAAAUCAAGAAUAAAGUUUAAAGUUCAACGGACAAAUUAUUGCGAUAAAUUCUUGUAAAGCCGGUAUGAUUUAAUUGAUGCAUGAUUUAGCAUUUGAAAAGCUCAAGAGAUUAAUUUAAUUAAUUACUUUUCAUAAACUAAAAGGUUUUAUUUUUAUAAGAUAAAGUAUUUUGUGGUUUUGAGUAUUUUGAACUUAAAUGGAAAGUUUUGCAAUCUUUGAUUUUAAUAAGUAUUAUCUUGAAUUCCGGAGUUGGAUCUUUUUGCAAAUAUGUGAAAUGUUUUAGCCCAUACUAUAAUUUAUGAACAUUUUGAACUAAAGUGAAAAGUUUUGAGAACUUUGAAAAAUAUAGGUAUUAUGUUAAAUUUUGAAAAAUGACCUCUUUGAGAAAUAAUAAUAUAUUUGGGGCCAUAGCAUAAUUACAGAAAGUUUUGAAAAGACAAUUAUUAUUAGGAAAUUCUGAAAUUGGAUUUAUUUGUAAAGUUUUAUGACAUUUUUUGCUAUAGUAGAAUUAUAGAAAGGUUUGGGCCAAAGUGUAAUUUUAGUGAACAAUGUUACUGUAGUAAAAUUCAAAAAUAACGGUAAUAUCACUAUUACAAGCGGCUAACCGGAUAAAUCAAGCGGCUAAUCGCUUGGGCAUUAGAAUUUGGCUAUAACGACUAGGUUUCAAGUUUUAACUAUAAAAACUCAACUCCAACUUCAUUUUAAGAACCAAUGCAAGCGUAAAUAAGAUCAUAUAACAUAUAUUGAGCUUCAAUUUCGCAAAUCAUCAUUUAUUGAAUCAUUAUUGAGCUAUAAUUUGUUAUCUACUCUUAAAGAGAGUUUCAUUGUUGUGAUUUUCAUUUCUCAUCAAAUCUGCUGUACCGUACAUCCGCCUUGGCCGUACAGCAGAUGUACUAAAGCUUCAAUUUUUUUCGGUUUUUUCAGUCAACGCUUUUGCUUCAAGAUUUCGUUUUACCUUCCUUGAAAAUUAAAGCUCACCUAAUUGAUACGAUUAAAACUCUUUUUUUAACUGAAGAUUGAUACAAUUUUCACUUCAUUUUUUUCUUAACUUUGUAUCCGGAUUUGCUACUUUUGUUUAAAGUUUUUUAUUUUUUUAUAUUUUUCUGCGGAGCUAAGCAUGACUUUGGUUACAGCUUUAUAUUAUUUUAACAUAUAAUUAGACUAAUUUAUUUAUUUGUGGAUUUAUUAUUUUUAAAUAUGGUUUGAGACUUCUGAUGUUUCAAUAUUUAUUGCACACGUGUAGUGCAGUGGCUUUAAUGAAUGUGGUAUUGUAAAGUUUAAAGCUUUUUGCAUGUGAAUGAGUUGGUGUGUACUCUUUCAUUGAUGUUUAGAUUCAUGUAUGUGGUGAUCUCNNNN
This 2680-nucleotide long non-coding RNA is filed under the name Citrus sinensis (sweet orange). RNAcentral's name for it is "long non-coding RNA (CSIN_LNC005073)". Lineage: Eukaryota; Viridiplantae; Streptophyta; Magnoliopsida; Sapindales; Rutaceae. The record is from RNAcentral.